GAUGAACGCUGGCGGCGUGCCUAAUACAUGCAAGUCGAGCGAACAGAUGAGGAGCUUGCUCCUCUGACGUUAGCGGCGGACGGGUGAGCAACACGUGGAUAACCUACCUAUAAGACUGGGAUAACUACGGGAAACCGGAGCUAAUACCGGAUAAUAUAUUGAACCGCAUGGUUCAAUAGUGAAAGACGGUUUUGCUGUCACUUAUAGAUGGAUCCGCGCUGCAUUAGCUAGUUGGUAAGGUAACGGCUUACCAAGGCAACGAUGCGUAGCCGACCUGAGAGGGUGAUCGGCCACACUGGAACUGAGACGCGGUCCAGACUCCUACGGGAGGCAGCAGUAGGGAAUCUUCCGCAAUGGGCGAAAGCCUGACGGAGCAACGCCGCGUGAGUGAUGAAGGUCUUCGGAUCGUAAAACUCUGUUAUUAGGGAAGAACAAAUGUGUAAGUAACUAUGCACGUCUUGACGGUACCUAAUCAGAAAGCCACGGCUAACUACGUG
This 497-nucleotide ribosomal RNA is filed under the name uncultured bacterium. RNAcentral's name for it is "partial 16S ribosomal RNA". It matches the Rfam family "Bacterial small subunit ribosomal RNA", at positions 28 to 507 of the family's 1533-position model. The record is from RNAcentral.